Molecule: ribosomal RNA, 918 nt
Filed under: uncultured bacterium
Lineage: Bacteria
Description: bacterial SSU rRNA
Rfam family: Bacterial small subunit ribosomal RNA
Source: RNAcentral
UGUCCGGAAUUAUUGGGCGUAAAGCGCGCGCAGGUGGUUCCUUAAGUCUGAUGUGAAAGCCCACGGCUCAACCGUGGAGGGUCAUUGGAAACUGGGGAACUUGAGUGCAGAAGAGGAAAGUGGAAUUCCAAGUGUAGCGGUGAAAUGCGUAGAGAUUUGGAGGAACACCAGUGGCGAAGGCGACUUUCUGGUCUGUAACUGACACUGAGGCGCGAAAGCGUGGGGAGCAAACAAGAUUAGAUACCCUGGUAGUCCACGCCGUAAACGAUGAGUGCUAAGUGUUAGAGGGUUUCCGCCCUUUAGUGCUGCAGCUAACGCAUUAAGCACUCCGCCUGGGGAGUACGGCCGCAAGGCUGAAACUCAAAGGAAUUGACGGGGGCCCGCUCAAGCGGUGGAGCAUGUGGUAUAAUUCGAAGCAACGCGAAGAACCUUACCAGGUCUUGACAUCCUCUGACAACCCUAGAGAUAGGGCUUUCCCCUUCGGGGGACAGAGUGACAGGUGGUGCAUGGUUGUCGUCAGCUCGUGUCGUGAGAUGUUGGGUUAAGUCCCGCAACGAGCGCAACCCUUGAUCUUAGUUGCCAGCAUUCAGUUGGGCACUCUAAGGUGACUGCCGGUGACAAACCGGAGGAAGGUGGGGAUGACGUCAAAUCAUCAUGCCCCUUAUGACCUGGGCUACACACGUGCUACAAUGGAUGGUACAAAGGGCUGCAAACCUGCGAAGGUAAGCGAAUCCCAUAAAGCCAUUCUCAGUUCGGAUUGUAGGCUGCAACUCGCCUACAUGAAGCCGGAAUCGCUAGUAAUCGCGGAUCAGCAUGCCGCGGUGAAUACGUUCCCGGGCCUUGUACACACCGCCCGUCACACCACGAGAGUUUGUAACACCCGAAGUCGGUGAGGUAACCUUUAUGGAGCCAGCCGCU